GACGAACGCUGGCGGCGUGCUUAACACAUGCAAGUCGAACGGAAAGGCCCUGCUUUUGUGGGGUGCUCGAGUGGCGAACGGGUGAGUAACACGUGAGUAACCUGCCCUUGACUUUGGGAUAACUUCAGGAAACUGGGGCUAAUACCGGAUAGGAGCUCCUGCUGCAUGGUGGGGGUUGGAAAGUUUCGGCGGUUGGGGAUGGACUCGCGGCUUAUCAGCUUGUUGGUGGGGUAGUGGCUUACCAAGGCUUUGACGGGUAGCCGGCCUGAGAGGGUGACCGGCCACAUUGGGACUGAGAGACGGACCAGAGUCCUACGGGGGGCAGCAGUGGGGAAUAUUGCACAAUGGGCGGAAGUCUGAUGCAGCAACGCCGCGUGCGUGAUGACGGCCUUCGGGUUGUAAACCGCUUUCGCCUGUGACGAAGCGUGAGUGACGGUAAUGGGUAAAGAAGCACCGGCUAACUACGUG
RNAcentral lists this ribosomal RNA (468 nucleotides) under uncultured bacterium. RNAcentral's name for it is "partial 16S ribosomal RNA". It matches the Rfam family "Bacterial small subunit ribosomal RNA", at positions 28 to 507 of the family's 1533-position model. The record is from RNAcentral.